GAUAGUGUGGCCGAGUGGUUUAUGGCGCUGGUAUUAGACAUCAGUUUUUUUCGGAGGCAAGGGUUCGAAUCCCUUCACUGUAA
This 83-nucleotide transfer RNA is filed under the name Daphnia pulex (common water flea). It matches the Rfam family "tRNA". From Rfam's summary of the family: Transfer RNA (tRNA) molecules are approximately 80 nucleotides in length. Their secondary structure includes four short double-helical elements and three loops (D, anti-codon, and T loops). Further hydrogen bonds mediate the characteristic L-shaped molecular structure. tRNAs have two regions of fundamental functional importance: the anti-codon, which is responsible for specific mRNA codon recognition, and the 3' end, to which the tRNAs corresponding amino acid is attached (by aminoacyl-tRNA synthetases). tRNAs cope with the degeneracy of the genetic code in two manners: having more than one tRNA (with a specific anti-codon) for a particular amino acid; and 'wobble' base-pairing, i.e. permitting non-standard base-pairing at the 3rd anti-codon position. Lineage: Eukaryota; Metazoa; Arthropoda; Branchiopoda; Diplostraca; Daphniidae. The record is from Rfam by way of RNAcentral.